UCGGGUUCUGCUGCAUUGAGUUGCUUACUGCUGACGUUUCAGCAAUCAGCGUGACAGAACUUGGGC
This 66-nucleotide non-coding RNA is filed under the name Blattella germanica (German cockroach). The record is from RNAcentral. Lineage: Eukaryota; Metazoa; Arthropoda; Insecta; Blattodea; Blattellidae.